Long non-coding RNA from Chroicocephalus ridibundus (black-headed gull), 977 nucleotides. RefSeq lists it as uncharacterized. The transcript is spliced from 3 exons. NCBI's taxonomy places the organism in Eukaryota, Metazoa, Chordata, Aves, Charadriiformes, Laridae. The record is from RefSeq and is a predicted model, not a curated record.
GGUGGUUACAAGGACGACGUUCUGGUUUUAUGCUACCGCUGCUCUCCUGCUCAGCCCAGUGUGAGGUGGCCAUCAGGCUCCCACAGGUGCCUCCUGAUCAGAGCAGGUCUUGGAUGGAUGGAUGGAUGAUCUUCACAGCCCUUGUCUCCUGAAGGCCACGCUUGUCCACCUCCGCCCUUUCUGGAGAGGAUGCUGGGGGAGCAGUGGGAAGCAGGGACGCUGAUUUGAGUGUUUGGUCUGUGCCCGCGCUCAGCACUCAGGAGGAUUAGUCACGGUUCACGCUGUCAUAAUAAAUUAAGGUGCAAGGACAACAGUAUAUUAGAGGGUGGUGGAUACAUUUGAAGACGUGGUUCGGGCUGUGCCCCCUUCUCUCCGAGGCGCACCUUAAAGUUGGCUUUCAGCUCGGCGUGACGUGAUGAGAGACGACAUCGCAUUGUUCUUGGGACAGGGUAGGGGGGAAAAAAGAGCCGAAAAGGAACUGUGAAAUUCAUGGCUUGGCACGGUUGAAAGAUCCCAAUGGGAGGGACGGGACUUUCUCGGCAGAGCAAGGCAGGUGUACCGCUGAUGCAGAGAGCCGCUAAUGCAUCUCCAGUUUAGUCCUAACCUUCCUCUCCCAGUACCUUGAACUGGGAAGUGCAGAACUGGCUAAAGAGACCCAGGGAGUUGUCCCGAACCCAUAGCUUCAGUCUGCGUCCUUUUCUGUUGGUGGACGAAAGUCCUGGGCUGCCCAAAGCCUGCCGCCUAACCGGUGUCAGUUGUUUCUCAUUGUUCCCCCCAUGCAAACGACACCAGUGGGGACAGCUGCCUAAAGCCAGCUUGGCAGAACGGCCGUGGAAAUAUUCACUGCGUGGAAAAAAUCAAGGCCUUUUUUUUUUUUCCUCUAAGUAGUAGAUAGAAAGUCAGCUCCGUUCCUGGAAUUGUUUUUGAAAUAACUCCUAGUCAAAGUAUCCUCAUUUGAAGGAUCCAGGACUGUAAGA